RNAcentral lists this ribosomal RNA (253 nucleotides) under uncultured bacterium. RNAcentral's name for it is "partial 16S ribosomal RNA". It matches the Rfam family "Bacterial small subunit ribosomal RNA", at positions 524 to 776 of the family's 1533-position model. The record is from RNAcentral.
UACGUAGGGGGCUAGCGUUGUCCGGAAUCAUUGGGCGUAAAGAGCGUGUAGGCGGUCCGGUAAGUCCGUUGUGAAAGUCAGGGGCUCAACCCUUGAAUGCCGGCGGAUACUGUCGGGCUAGAGUCCGGAAGAGGCAAGUGGAAUUCCCGGUGUAGCGGUGAAAUGCGCAGAUAUCGGGAGGAACACCGAUGGCGAAGGCAGCUUGCUGGGACGGUACUGACGCUGAGACGCGAAAGCGUGGGGAGCAAACAGG